RNAcentral lists this ribosomal RNA (465 nucleotides) under uncultured bacterium. Its description in RNAcentral is "partial 16S ribosomal RNA". It matches the Rfam family "Bacterial small subunit ribosomal RNA", at positions 339 to 795 of the family's 1533-position model. The record is from RNAcentral.
CUACGGGUCGCUCCAGUGGGGAAUAUUGGACAAUGGGGGAAACCCUGAUCCAGCAAUGCCGCGUGUGUGAAGAAGGCCUGCGGGUUGUAAAGCACUUUCGGUUGGGAGGACUGCUUCUAGCACUAAUAUUGUUGGAAGUUGACGUUACCUUCAGAAGAAGCACCGGCUAACUCCGUGCCAGCAGCCGCGGUAAUACGGAGGGUGCAGGCGUUAAUCGGAAUUACUGGGCGUAAAGCGCGCGUAGGCGGCUAGAUCAGUCGGGUGUGAAAGCCCCGGGCUUAACCUGGGAACUGCAUCCGAUACUGUCUAGCUUGAGUACAGGAGAGGAGAGUGGAAUUCCACAUGAAGCGGUGAAAUGCGUAGAUAUGUGGAGGAACACCAAUGGCGAAGGCAGCUCUCUGGCCUGAUACUGACGCUGAGGUGCGAAAGCGUGGGGAGCAAACAGGAUUAGAUACCCCCGUAGUC